GGCACUAUGUGUGUGUGAUGGAUUUCAACGGCUUUCUUCUCUACUUCAUUAGCAAUAGCACUUCAGUAGUUUCAUCGAAUAGAUAAACAUUGGGUUCCGAUAAUGUUGAUGAAGUUGUAAGAGAAAUUCCAAGGUGCAAUGGCUUUUAUUUUAUGCUUGGGUUUAUCCAAGUAUCAGUUUGCUUGUGGAUGGAAUACAUGUAUAUCUUUAUGUGUUUAAAUGCAGUUUUUCAAUUUGAAAUCUCAUUUCUCAUAUCUUCUUCGUCAUGCUCCAUCCUACCCCUUUCCCUGGCUCUGUUUGUCAAACAGCAUGUGAGUAAAUUAUAAUCAAUCUCAGUUCAAGUUCUCAUAGGUAUCCCCAUAUGUGUCACUCACACACUAUCAUAGUAUAACCAUGAUAUCUUCAACAUAAAACAUAGAUAUUUAUAGUUGUUUAAGUCAGAAUGUAUUGGGCAGAGCUGCAAACUAUGGCUUGAUGUGGUAUGACUUCACCUUUUCUUUUCUAUCUCCUUUUUGCCUCCUCCCAACAUUCAACGUUCUCUUUGUGAGAAGGGGGGGUACACCGCGCUUCACCUGGCCUCAAUCCACAGCCACCAGCACAUGGUCCUGGCCUUGAUCAACACUUACAAUGCUAAGACCAACAUCAGAGAUUACCAUGGGAAGAAGCCCGCUUACUACUGGAGUGGGCGUUCAGAUGCCUUCAACAUACCUGGAGCUCAGUCGGUGGCAAGUCCUGAUUGUAAACGUGACGAGAUGUUUGGGAAGUUGGGCUAUGGAAGACGCUCCCACCGCUACCCCCUGCCCGCCAUGCUGCUGUCCCGAUCUCGAAGCCAAGGCCAGCUCAGCACGGAGCUCACCGCUGCCCCCCAGUCCCCGCGGCUCCAGAUCCUGGACAUCCCAAUGGCCUUUUAAAAAGGUCUGCAUCACUGUUUCUGUGCACUUUGAGCCAUUCAACGUUUGAGUCUCCAGGUGAUCCAUGUAGGAAUUGGGUGAAUACCUAAUGGUGGCAAACUAGAUGUGCCGACGAGGGCCCAUGUUUCACCCACCCUGUCUCCAAUGGCCCUUGUAGAGUUUGUUUGCUGUUGGAAAAUGACACAAUUGCAGGUAGCACAGGUACCACAUUAGAAAGCCGUUUUCCACGCUUCAGUCCAUCUUUAAUUAAAUGAUAAUGUACUAAUGUAGAAAGGUGUUACACUUACAACCCAGCUGUAGUUUGCUCAAAUUUAGAGUGUUAAGACAAACGAUCAUCUAAAAAUGUUUCAUUUUAAUUACAAAUGAGAUGUGUUUAUUGAAGCGUCAACACAUGUUUCAAACGUGUCUGGACCAACCACUCCCCAUCAGUAAAGCAUAAAUGUCCUCAUCGAGUUCCAGACCAUUGUCUAGCGCAUUGCAUAAAGCCCAUUAUGGCGCUGAUUAAGCCACACCAGGGUCAUCUGUGCAAAUGAUAAGCAGGAAAUUACACUAUGUGAGGACACAGUCAGCAGCGAUAACCCAAACUGGCUUUAAUAAUGUGGAAAUUAGUGAGCCGCUGAAGGUCUGGGUGAUUUUUGUCUGUGUCUGAAGGCCAGUAAACCUAAUGAGAACAUAUCCAUGGUAAUGAUCGCAUCUGAAUACAAAUGUGCUGAAAAAGAUUCAUAAGCUGUAGGCUAAACAAUUCUCAACAUUUCUGUGUGUAUAAGCAUGUGCGUCAAAUCUAGAGGAAAAAUGUGAUGAUUCCCAUACAGUAUCUGUCUUCAUUUAUAUUUGGCGAGUGAGUGUGUCAUUAAUCUUUAAACCAAUAUUUCUAUAUACUGCCAAAAUGAUCAAAUCCACCUCACUGUCUCUGACUCAAUUGCAUAAUUUCAUAAUAAUAAUAAUAAUCAAAGAAAGGCAUUUCUCUCUGGACAACAUAACAGCUAAAUAUAACCAUCUCAUCAGCUUUAGUCGAUCAGUCAGAGUACAAAUAUCCCUUUUCAGUGAUACUUUUGUGGCCUAACACACACACAGUAAGGAGCUGAGCAGUCCAACGUAUUCACUGCUACCUGAUUGUGGAGUUUAUAUUCAGGCGAGGUGAUCCCUGGCCUAAAGGCACUCUGAGAGAGGGGGUGAGAGAGUGAGAUAAUUAAAGACAGAUUCCUCCACAACGACAAACAAACUGGGUUUUCCAUGGUUGGCUUCCUGCUUACAAAAAGAAAAGUGUCAUUGCCAGUGGGAGGAUGACAUAGAGUCCAAUAUAAUUCCUGCUAUUGGAACCUCCAAUCUAGCAACGAAAUGUAAUUAAAGAUGUUCAGACAACAAAACAUCCCCAUGAAUAUGCCUCAGUUGUGUUGCAUGACGAUUUAAUCCAAUCUAACCUAAUUGUGAUUGGUACGUGCACUUGAGCUCUGUAGUAAGGGAACAACUGUCUAAUCCAUGAGAAGUCACUUUGAACGUCACUGCGCUAGGAAUCACUAAAGCAGCAUCUCUGCAAGAGCAAACACCCUUUACCCCCUCAGCCAAUCAAAAGCUCUUUAUUGAUAAAGCUGGGUCUGCCUUGAGCUUGAGGUUAACCAAUGAGAUGAGUUAUGUUUAUGGGUCCUUGAAUGCACUUCUCCACGGCGUGACAACAAUGCUGCGACCUUUGAACUUCCCUGCUUGCCUUCGUGACCUACGACCCCAGUAUUUUCCCACAGCUGUCAAUGUCCACAAUGGCCGUUAGGCCGGCCAGCCAAUGAGGUGAUGUGUGCACUUUGUCGACAAGGAGGGGGGGGCAAAUGAAAACAGUGUCGUUAACUCAUCUACGGGUCAUUGUCUGUCCCAAAAUGGCUGUCACGGUGGCUCCCAGUCAAUGGGAAAUGGGGCCUAAUGAGCUGAAAAGCCACAUCAAAGGCGCACACAAAGAAAGCAAUCCCAGCAAUCCUCUGAUGUGUUACUCCAUGCAGAUCGCACAAAAGCCCCUUUGUUCUGAUGUGUUUCGGUGUUGAGUGUUAGCUAAUGUGUGUGUGGGGGGUGUGUGUGUGUGUGGGAGAGAGGCUGAAAGAGGGUGCGUAUUUGUCGGUCUGUGUUGUGGUCACCUUUUGAAUGACGCGACUAGUGCUUUGAAAACCACACGUUUUUGUGAGAUUAAUUGUAAUUGCAAGUGCUGUUUUAACUGGGGGUUUCAUUAAAAAUGUCUCUUUGGAGUCUGACCAAUGUUUCUCCUUUAAAUCCCUUCCUAAAAAUGCAACCAGAUAAGAAAAAAACGGACUUUAUACAAAUAUUGUAAAUAUUGUAUUAUAUAUCAUUCUAUCUCUAUAUAAAGAUACAAAAUACAUAAUACACAAUAUACAUAAUUCAACUAUAAAUAGUUCUCUUGCGGACUAAACCCAUGAGAUGGGCCAAAUGCAACGACACCAGCCUUCAGAAAGGCCUGAACAGCUUUGUCAUCACGGAUUACGGACAAAGUCAACCCCGGUCCCUGAUUGGCUCACAGAAUAGCAGCAUUUACAUUUGAUUAGUCACACCCACCCAUAGUGACGUUUUGUCCAACUGAGGGUGUCAGAGAGAUUGACACAGCACAGCUGAGGGCCUCACUCACGUUGUGUCACAAUAAGAGCUCUCCAGUGCAGUGAAGCCAGAAAAAAAUCAUCUCAGGUUAGACUCCAUAAAGAUGGCUCACAAGUCUGCACAGGGCAUUUGGUCAUUUUUGGUGGAAGCAUUGGCGGAGAUAAUAUUUCACCAAUACCCCAGACCCCAUACUAUUUAUCAUUAAAACAGAAAUAAUGAAGGCGUUACUGUAUAUAAUAUCAACACUAAAUCAACAUAAAAGGAUGUGCUUUCAAAGGGGUAGUGAACCUUAGUUUCUAAACAUGGUCAUAUAUUAUCUUCCACAUAACAAUAUAUUCCAUUUUAUCACUAUUACUGACACAUGAAUGUUAUUUAGAGAAAACAGUAUACAAAUCCUAUGUUAUUUUCCUAACCAGUUUGUGAACAUUGCUCCGAACGCAGGUUGUGUUCUUUUUAUGACGGCUGACUUUUAGAUUACUGUUUGACGUCAUGAAGGGACACCAGUCUGCACAUCGGUUUUUGACGUCUGCUUUGAGAAAGGGUUAGGCUUCCUGAACACUCAUAGUAUAAAACGCCCCGUUGUGUGGUGCAUUUCAUAUACAACAUCGCCCAUUAACGCUCAUACACAAAGACAGUCCUACUAAAAAUGUAUGAAUGCUAACCCCCCUCUGUCCUAGAACGCUCAGCUCAGAACAAUUUAUUUUAAAUCUCAUACUGUUCCAAUACAAGCUGUAAACGGGCAGAAGGUAACAAAAGUCUUAUUGUGUUGGGGUUCACAUCCUUCCCAGUGCAUGGUUCUCUAAAUGAUCAGACAUUUAGGGAAGACACUACAUCUUGACACAACAUCUUAAAUUCUGUAUGAACUAAGUGCAGCUCUAUGAAUCACAUAGUCAAAGAACAGGUUAGUGGAAAAUAUAUACAUGAGUUGUAAUCAGGUAUAUUAUCUGAAAACUGGCCGUGUUGGAGUAAUAAUGAACAGUACAUCUUAUCGUCUUUUCUAAACGGCCAAACAAACCAAAAUCCAUAAAAUCAUCCGACUGACGUAUGACGUGUCCCUAGUCCUAUUCCUGUAAUGUUCCAUAACGUCUAGCAGACCACACCGCUGAGCAGAGCCCAAACCAACCGCGACCGCCCCAGCGGCCCUGACUGACGCGUGUGGCCGUCAGUCACUCAGGAUGAUUGCUGUCGCCCGCACCAGCCUGCUGCUGCGACGCCUUUCCCCGUGUAAAGGUGUGCCCAGCAGGCCCGCCGUGCGCCAGGAGCCGGACUCUCAACGAGCUGCAGGCGGCGGGCUGACAGACAGCACACAGUGAGACUACAGUGGGACUGUAGACCUAGUCAUCAGCGCCCAUAGGAUAGGAUAGAGGAAGGGUUCCAACGGGCCACCGCACAUCAACCUUUUUAUGGCUCCCUUAUCUCUGCUAAACUUGAUAAAAUAAAGAAAGAGACACGAAACCGAUAGGUAAAUCUCUUCAAUGCUCAAAUUGGUUUGCUACUAUUUUUCAUAGCAGACGUGUUCGUCCAAAGGAUCUAUGUCAUUGAGGGACAGUGUGUGGACCUUGGGGAUCAAACCUAGUACCUUUAAGCUGAUACCAAACAAAACCCUUUUAAGGUUUUGGUUUGGACAACAUCCUCACUCAGUGUGUUAUCUGAACAGCUGGCUGCCAUGCAGGAGCCAAUACUAAGAUUUGUCUGCUUCUAAUGGUUAAACCAUCCCACCAGCAGCCUUGG
Long non-coding RNA from Gadus macrocephalus (Pacific cod), 5234 nucleotides. RefSeq lists it as uncharacterized. NCBI's taxonomy places the organism in Eukaryota, Metazoa, Chordata, Actinopteri, Gadiformes, Gadidae. The record is from RefSeq and is a predicted model, not a curated record. The transcript is spliced from 4 exons.